Molecule: ribosomal RNA, 2230 nt
Filed under: Listeria monocytogenes
Lineage: Bacteria; Bacillati; Bacillota; Bacilli; Caryophanales; Listeriaceae
Description: partial 23S ribosomal RNA
Rfam family: Bacterial large subunit ribosomal RNA
Source: RNAcentral
UUGGUUAAGUUAGAAAGGGCGCACGGUGGAUGCCUUGGCACUAGGAGCCGAAGAAGGACGGGACUAACACCGAUAUGCUUUGGGGAGCUGUACGUAAGCGUUGAUCCAGAGAUUUCCGAAUGGGGGAACCCACUAUCUUUAGUCGGAUAGUAUCCUUACGUGAAUACAUAGCGUGAGGAAGGCAGACCCAGGGAACUGAAACAUCUAAGUACCUGGAGGAAGAGAAAGAAAAAUCGAUUUCCUGAGUAGCGGCGAGCGAAACGGAAAGAGCCCAAACCAAGAAGCUUGCUUCUUGGGGUUGUAGGACACUCUAUACGGAGUUACAAAAGAAAGUUAUAAAUGAAGCGGUCUGGAAAGGCCCGCCAAAGACGGUAACAGCCCGGUAGUUGAAAUGGCUUUCCCUCCAGAGUGGAUCCUGAGUACGGCGGAACACGUGAAAUUCCGUCGGAAUCCGGGAGGACCAUCUCCCAAGGCUAAAUACUCCCUAGUGACCGAUAGUGAACCAGUACCGUGAGGGAAAGGUGAAAAGCACCCCGGAAGGGGAGUGAAACAGUUCCUGAAACCGUGUGCCUACAAGUAGUUAGAGCCCGUUAAUGGGUGAUAGCGUGCCUUUUGUAGAAUGAACCGGCGAGUUACGAUUUGUUGCAAGGUUAAGCGGAAAAAGCGGAGCCGUAGCGAAAGCGAGUCUGAAUAGGGCGCAUAAGUAACAGGUCGUAGACCCGAAACCAGGUGAUCUACCCAUGUCCAGGAUGAAGGUAAGGUAAUACUUACUGGAGGUCCGAACCCACGCACGUUGAAAAGUGCGGGGAUGAGGUGUGGGUAGCGGAGAAAUUCCAAUCGAACUUGGAGAUAGCUGGUUCUCUCCGAAAUAGCUUUAGGGCUAGCCUCGAGGUAAAGAGUCAUGGAGGUAGAGCACUGUUUGGACUAGGGGCCCUUCUCGGGUUACCGAAUUCAGAUAAACUCCGAAUGCCAUGUACUUAUACUCGGGAGUCAGACUGCGAGUGAUAAGAUCCGUAGUCGAAAGGGAAACAGCCCAGACCACCAGUUAAGGUCCCCAAAUAUAUGUUAAGUGGAAAAGGAUGUGGGGUUGCUUAGACAACCAGGAUGUUGGCUUAGAAGCAGCCACCAUUGAAAGAGUGCGUAAUAGCUCACUGGUCGAGUGACCCCGCGCCGAAAAUGUACCGGGGCUAAACAUAUUACCGAAACUGUGGAUGAACCUCUUUAGAGGUUCGUGGUAGGAGAGCGUUCUAAGGGCGGUGAAGUCAGACCGGAAGGACUGGUGGAGCGCUUAGAAGUGAGAAUGCCGGUAUGAGUAGCGAAAGAAGGGUGAGAAUCCCUUCCACCGAAUAUCUAAGGUUUCCUGAGGAAGGCUCGUCCGCUCAGGGUUAGUCGGGACCUAAGCCGAGGCCGAUAGGCGUAGGCGAUGGACAACAGGUAGAGAUUCCUGUACCAGUGCUAAUUGUUUAACCGAUGGGGUGACACAGAAGGAUAGGGAAUCGCACGAAUGGAAAUGUGCGUCCAAGCAGUGAGUGUGAGAAGUAGGCAAAUCCGCUUCUCGCGAAGCAUGAGCUGUGAUGGGGAAGGAAAUUAAGUACGGAAGUUCCUGAUUUCACGCUGUCAAGAAAAGCCUCUAGGAAGAGUAGUACUGCCCGUACCGCAAACCGACACAGGUAGAUGAGGAGAGAAUCCUAAGGUGAGCGAGAGAACUCUCGUUAAGGAACUCGGCAAAAUGACCCCGUAACUUCGGGAGAAGGGGUGCUCUAUUAGGGUGCAAGCCCGAGAGAGCCGCAGUGAAUAGGCCCAGGCGACUGUUUAGCAAAAACACAGGUCUCUGCAAAACCGUAAGGUGACGUAUAGGGGCUGACGCCUGCCCGGUGCUGGAAGGUUAAGAGGAGUGCUUAGCUUCGGCGAAGGUACGAAUUGAAGCCCCAGUAAACGGCGGCCGUAACUAUAACGGUCCUAAGGUAGCGAAAUUCCUUGUCGGGUAAGUUCCGACCCGCACGAAAGGCGCAACGAUCUGGGCACUGUCUCAACGAGAGACUCGGUGAAAUUAUAGUACCUGUGAAGAUGCAGGUUACCCGCGACAGGACGGAAAGACCCCGUGGAGCUUUACUGCAACCUGAUAUGGAAUGUUUGUACCGCUUGUACAGGAUAGGUAGGAGCCGAAGAGACGUGUGCGCUAGCAUACGAGGAGGCAAUGGUGGGAUACUACCCUGGCUGUAUGACCAUU